This 56-nucleotide non-coding RNA is filed under the name Spodoptera frugiperda (fall armyworm). The record is from RNAcentral. Lineage: Eukaryota; Metazoa; Arthropoda; Insecta; Lepidoptera; Noctuidae.
UAGCAAAAUUCGGACUCACGUGUUUCUUGUGUCGGGCCUUCCAAAUUCAUGUUAUU